This 57-nucleotide ribosomal RNA is filed under the name Paecilomyces niveus. RNAcentral's name for it is "Byssochlamys nivea partial 28S ribosomal RNA". RNAcentral also lists the same sequence under 1 other name. Lineage: Eukaryota; Fungi; Ascomycota; Eurotiomycetes; Eurotiales; Thermoascaceae. The record is from RNAcentral.
GACCUCGGAUCAGGUAGGGAUACCCGCUGAACUUAAGCAUAUCAAAAGCCGGAGGAA